Molecule: transfer RNA, 73 nt
Filed under: Camelus bactrianus (Bactrian camel)
Lineage: Eukaryota; Metazoa; Chordata; Mammalia; Artiodactyla; Camelidae
Also listed under: 2 other names
Rfam family: tRNA
About the family: Transfer RNA (tRNA) molecules are approximately 80 nucleotides in length.
Source: Rfam by way of RNAcentral
GAGGGUGUCGCUCAAGCGGUAGAGCGCGUGCCUAGCAUGCACAAGGUCCUGGGUUCAAUUCCCGGUACCUCCU